AGCAGCCAGAGCCUUCCCUCAAUGUCUGUUUUACAGAGAGCAAGGCUGAGGCUGUUCU
RNAcentral lists this microRNA precursor (58 nucleotides) under Taeniopygia guttata (zebra finch). Its description in RNAcentral is "Tgu-Mir-2987_pre stem-loop". The record is from RNAcentral. Lineage: Eukaryota; Metazoa; Chordata; Aves; Passeriformes; Estrildidae.